RNAcentral lists this ribosomal RNA (253 nucleotides) under uncultured bacterium. Its description in RNAcentral is "partial 16S ribosomal RNA". It matches the Rfam family "Bacterial small subunit ribosomal RNA", at positions 524 to 776 of the family's 1533-position model. The record is from RNAcentral.
UACGUAGGGUGCAAGCGUUACUCGGAAUUACUGGGCGUAAAGCGUGCGCAGGCGGUUAUGUAAGCCAGUUGUGAAAUCCCCGGGCUCAACCUGGGAACUGCAUUUGUGACUGCAUAGCUAGAGUACGGUAGAGGGGGAUGGAAUUCCGCGUGUAGCAGUGAAAUGCGUAGAUAUGCGGAGGAACACCGAUGGCGAAGGCAAUCCCCUGGACCUGUACUGACGCUCAUGCACGAAAGCGUGGGGAGCAAACAGG